Molecule: ribosomal RNA, 2771 nt
Filed under: Klebsiella pneumoniae
Lineage: Bacteria; Pseudomonadati; Pseudomonadota; Gammaproteobacteria; Enterobacterales; Enterobacteriaceae
Description: bacterial LSU rRNA
Rfam family: Bacterial large subunit ribosomal RNA
Source: RNAcentral
AGCGUACACGGUGGAUGCCCUGGCAGUCAGAGGCGAUGAAGGACGUGCUAAUCUGCGAAAAGCGUCGGUAAGGUGAUAUGAACCGUUAUAACCGGCGAUGUCCGAAUGGGGAAACCCAGUGUGAUUCGUCACACUAUCGUUAACUGAAUACAUAGGUUAACGAGGCGAACCGGGGGAACUGAAACAUCUAAGUACCCCGAGGAAAAGAAAUCAACCGAGAUUCCCCCAGUAGCGGCGAGCGAACGGGGAGCAGCCCAGAGUCUGAAUCAGCUUGUGUGUUAGUGGAACGGUCUGGAAAGUCCGACGGUACAGGGUGAUAGUCCCGUACACCAAAAUGCACAGGCUGUGAACUCGAAGAGUAGGGCGGGACACGUGGUAUCCUGUCUGAAUAUGGGGGGACCAUCCUCCAAGGCUAAAUACUCCUGACUGACCGAUAGUGAACCAGUACCGUGAGGGAAAGGCGAAAAGAACCCCGGCGAGGGGAGUGAAAAAGAACCUGAAACCGUGUACGUACAAGCAGUGGGAGCACCUUCGGGUGUGACUGCGUACCUUUUGUAUAAUGGGUCAGCGACUUAUAUUCUGUAGCAAGGUUAACCGUAUAGGGGAGCCGCAGGGAAACCGAGUCUUAACUGGGCGUUAAGUUGCAGGGUAUAGACCCGAAACCCGGUGAUCUAGCCAUGGGCAGGUUGAAGGUUGGGUAACACUAACUGGAGGACCGAACCGACUAAUGUUGAAAAAUUAGCGGAUGACUUGUGGCUGGGGGUGAAAGGCCAAUCAAACCGGGAGAUAGCUGGUUCUCCCCGAAAGCUAUUUAGGUAGCGCCUCGUGAACUCAUCUUCGGGGGUAGAGCACUGUUUCGGCUAGGGGGUCAUCCCGACUUACCAACCCGAUGCAAACUACGAAUACCGAAGAAUGUUAUCACGGGAGACACACGGCGGGUGCUAACGUCCGUCGUGAAGAGGGAAACAACCCAGACCGCCAGCUAAGGUCCCAAAGUCAUGGUUAAGUGGGAAACGAUGUGGGAAGGCACAGACAGCCAGGAUGUUGGCUUAGAAGCAGCCAUCAUUUAAAGAAAGCGUAAUAGCUCACUGGUCGAGUCGGCCUGCGCGGAAGAUGUAACGGGGCUAAACCAUGCACCGAAGCUGCGGCAGCGACACUAUGUGUUGUUGGGUAGGGGAGCGUUCUGUAAGCCUGCGAAGGUGACCUGUGAGGGUUGCUGGAGGUAUCAGAAGUGCGAAUGCUGACAUAAGUAACGAUAAAGCGGGUGAAAAGCCCGCUCGCCGGAAGACCAAGGGUUCCUGUCCAACGUUAAUCGGGGCAGGGUGAGUCGACCCCUAAGGCGAGGCCGAAAGGCGUAGUCGAUGGGAAACAGGUUAAUAUUCCUGUACUUGGUGUUACUGCGAAGGGGGGACGGAGAAGGCUAUGUUAGCCGGGCGACGGUUGUCCCGGUUUAAGCAUGUAGGCUGGUUGUCCAGGCAAAUCCGGAUAAUCAAGGCUGAGGUGUGAUGACGAGGCACUACGGUGCUGAAGUAACAAAUGCCCUGCUUCCAGGAAAAGCCUCUAAGCAUCAGGUAACAUUAAAUCGUACCCCAAACCGACACAGGUGGUCAGGUAGAGAAUACCAAGGCGCUUGAGAGAACUCGGGUGAAGGAACUAGGCAAAAUGGUGCCGUAACUUCGGGAGAAGGCACGCUGGUGUGUAGGUGAAGUCCCUGCGGAUGGAGCUGAGACCAGUCGAAGAUACCAGCUGGCUGCAACUGUUUAUUAAAAACACAGCACUGUGCAAACACGAAAGUGGACGUAUACGGUGUGACGCCUGCCCGGUGCCGGAAGGUUAAUUGAUGGGGUUAUCCGUAAGGAGAAGCUCUUGAUCGAAGCCCCGGUAAACGGCGGCCGUAACUAUAACGGUCCUAAGGUAGCGAAAUUCCUUGUCGGGUAAGUUCCGACCUGCACGAAUGGCGUAAUGAUGGCCAGGCUGUCUCCACCCGAGACUCAGUGAAAUUGAACUCGCUGUGAAGAUGCAGUGUACCCGCGGCAAGACGGAAAGACCCCGUGAACCUUUACUAUAGCUUGACACUGAACAUUGAGCCUUGAUGUGUAGGAUAGGUGGGAGGCUUUGAAGCGUGGACGCCAGUCUGCGUGGAGCCAACCUUGAAAUACCACCCUUUAAUGUUUGAUGUUCUAACGUUGGCCCCUUACCGGGGUUGCGGACAGUGUCUGGUGGGUAGUUUGACUGGGGCGGUCUCCUCCCAAAGCGUAACGGAGGAGCACGAAGGUUAGCUAAUCCUGGUCGGACAUCAGGAGGUUAGUGCAAUGGCAUAAGCUAGCUUGACUGCGAGCGUGACGGCGCGAGCAGGUGCGAAAGCAGGUCAUAGUGAUCCGGUGGUUCUGAAUGGAAGGGCCAUCGCUCAACGGAUAAAAGGUACUCCGGGGAUAACAGGCUGAUACCGCCCAAGAGUUCAUAUCGACGGCGGUGUUUGGCACCUCGAUGUCGGCUCAUCACAUCCUGGGGCUGAAGUAGGUCCCAAGGGUAUGGCUGUUCGCCAUUUAAAGUGGUACGCGAGCUGGGUUUAGAACGUCGUGAGACAGUUCGGUCCCUAUCUGCCGUGGGCGCUGGAGAAUUGAGGGGGGCUGCUCCUAGUACGAGAGGACCGGAGUGGACGCAUCACUGGUGUUCGGGUUGUCAUGCCAAUGGCACUGCCCGGUAGCUAAAUGCGGAAGAGAUAAGUGCUGAAAGCAUCUAAGCACGAAACUUGCCCCGAGAUGAGUUCU